GGGCAAGAUAGGUGAAGUUAGCUAACCGGCAAGCCGGUUAUCUAUCUUCACUCUCCCUUAUUCGCGCCUCCGGCACUCAAUGGGAAUCUUGCUCUGCGAGGCU
Molecule: non-coding RNA, 103 nt
Organism: Yersinia pseudotuberculosis IP 31758
Lineage: Bacteria; Pseudomonadati; Pseudomonadota; Gammaproteobacteria; Enterobacterales; Yersiniaceae
Source: Rfam